UACGGAAGGCAGCAGUGGGGAAUAUUGCACAAUGGGCGAAAGCCUGAUGCAGCUAUGCCGCGUGUAUGAAGAAGGCCUUAGGGUUGUAAAGUACUUUCAUCGGGGAGGAAAAAACAAAACUAAUAAUUUUAUUUCUUGACGUUACCCGAAAAAGAAGCACCGGCUAACUCCGUGCCAGCAGCCGCGGUAAUACGGAGGGUGCUAGCGUUAAUCAGAAUUACUGGGCGUAAAGAGCACGUAGGUGGUUUUUUAAGUCAGAUGUGAAAUCCCCUGGGCUUAACCUAGGAACUGCAUUUUGAAACUGAAAUACUAGAGUAUCGUAGAGGGAGGUAGAAUUCUAGGUGUAGCGGUGAAAUGCGUAGAUAUCUGGAGGAAUACCUGUGGCGAAAGCGGCCUCCUAAACGAAUACUGACACUGAGGUGCGAAAGCGUUGGGGAGCAAACAGGGAUUAGAUACC
Molecule: ribosomal RNA, 457 nt
Filed under: uncultured bacterium
Lineage: Bacteria
Description: bacterial SSU rRNA
Rfam family: Bacterial small subunit ribosomal RNA
Source: RNAcentral